AAAUGAUGAAUUCGAGAUUCAACAUGCAGAAAUAAUUUGUAUGAAACAGCACCAAUACAUUCUAGAAUUUUGAAAGGCCCAAAUUAACUAGCUGUUAAUUUGGGCACUGAUAUAACACAACCCGAUUUCCGAACUAAAUGGUAUGCGGUUCGGAUCUUUGAGUUUGGAAAAAGGAUCGAAUACCUAUGAAGAACAAAGUGAUCGGUUAAGACAAUUGGUGUUCGGACAAGUCACAAGGUGUUCGGACAAAGGAUAAGUGUUCAGUACAAUAGAAAA
RNAcentral lists this unclassified non-coding RNA (276 nucleotides) under Hevea brasiliensis (rubber tree). The record is from RNAcentral. Lineage: Eukaryota; Viridiplantae; Streptophyta; Magnoliopsida; Malpighiales; Euphorbiaceae.